UCCGUCAGCUGUGGGACCUGACUCAGGGGAAGACCAUCACAGAGUUUAAGUCUCACACCGCGGCCGUCAACAUCGUCCAGUUUCACCCCAACGAGUACCUGCUGGCCUCAGGCAGCUCCGACAGGAGCAUCAAGCUUUGGGAUCUGGAGAAGUUCACGAUGAUCGGCUCCUUGGAGGGAGACACUACUCCAGUCAGGUGUGUGUUCUUCAGCCCGGACGGCGGCUGCCUGUACAGCGGGGCCACAGACUCUCUGCGGGUAUUUGGCUGGGAGCCCGACCGCUGCUUCGACGUGGUGCCGGUGGGCUGGGGGAAGGUGUCGGACCUCGCCGUCUGCAGCCAG
Plectropomus leopardus (leopard coralgrouper) is the source of this 341-nucleotide non-coding RNA. The record is from RefSeq and is a predicted model, not a curated record. NCBI's taxonomy places the organism in Eukaryota, Metazoa, Chordata, Actinopteri, Perciformes, Serranidae.